AUGCGGGGAGGGCGGCGUUGCCGAGUGCGGGUGGGUGUGUGGGGGGUCCCUGGUGCAAAACCUCGCUCCACUGCCGUCAAAAGGGAACUCAAGGGAGAACUGCUCACUUCAUCUUGGACGCGUUUUCCAGCUAGAAUUGGUAAAUACGUAAACGAAAGGCCCACACGGUCUGAAAGGGGCACAGGGCGCUCCCAGCGAGCUUCCCGGGGAGCCUCGGCCCCGCGCGCCCCUCGGCGGGCGCCCCGGGCCAGACAGGCGCGGAGGCUCGGCGCUGCGGGCGCGUCCCGGCCCCACGGCGGCCGCCACCGGGGGGCGCCCCGAACCCCGAGCCGGCCCCGCCCCCACCCCCACCCCCACCCCGGCCGCCGCGACCGGGCCUCGGCGCCCCGAGCGUGUCGCUUCCGCCGCCGCCUCCCGGCGCGCUGGUCUGGGGGCGUCCGGGCCCGCCGCCCUGCCCUCGCUCCCCGGCGCGGCGCGGCGCGGCCCCCGCACCCCGGUCCCCGUGGCGGCCCCGCGGCUCGGGCCGGGGCGGCGGGCUUUGUUCCCCGAGACCCGACGGCGCGGGGGCCCGAGCGUCCCGAGGCGCGGCGGCGGCACUGCGGAGCCGGGGGCCAUGCGCCAGCGCGGCCGCCCCGCGCGCCCAGCCUCGUCGGGCCCGCCCGAGCCCCCGGCCGCUGGCGGCCCCCGCGCGCUCCCGCGCUGAGUGCCGGGGUCCGCCUCCUCCCGGCCCGCUCGCCGCCCCGCUCGCCGCAGUACGAGCCGCCUCCCUGCCCCCGCCCCCCGCGCCGCCGCCGCCGCCGCCGCCGCCGCCGCCGCCGCCGCAGGGAGGGAGGGAGGGAGGGAGGCCGGGGAGGGAGGCGGCGGGGCCGAGCCCAGAGCCCGUCCCGGCCGCCGGCGAGCGAGCUGGGGCCGCGGCGGGAGGCGCCAUCCGGGGUCGCCGGGCGGCCGCGGCGCCCUCGCCCUCCGAGCGUCUGGCAGCCGCCUCCCGCCGCCCCGGCCGCGUUCGGCCCGCGGCGCCCAGAGAGGCUCCCGCUCCGCCGGGCACGGGCUCAUUUUUCUUCCUCCUCGGGAGGGAGUCGCCACCUGGAUUGCCAAGUGCGAGGGGUCCGGGAGGCGGGGACCGGGGCACCGUGA
Molecule: long non-coding RNA, 1134 nt
Filed under: Canis lupus familiaris (dog)
Lineage: Eukaryota; Metazoa; Chordata; Mammalia; Carnivora; Canidae
Description: lncRNA (ENSCAFG00040005772.1)
Source: RNAcentral